GAAAUGCGAUAAGUAAUGUGAAUUGCAGAAUUCAGUGAAUCAUCGAAUCUUUGAACGCACCUUGCGCUCCUUGGUAUUCCUUGGAGCAUGCCUGUUUGAGUAUCAUGAAAUCUUCAAAGUAAAUCUUUUGUUAACUUAAUUGGUUUCUACUUUGGUAUUGGAGGUCUUUGCAGCUUCACACCUGCUCCUCUUUGUUCAUUAGCUGGAUCUCAGUGUUAUGCUUGGUUCCACUCGGCGUGAUAAGUUAUCUAUCGCUGAGGACACUGUAAAAGGUGGCCAAGGUAAAUGCAGAUGAACCGCUUCUAAUAGUCCAUUGACUUGGACAAUACUUUUAUGAUCUGAUCUCAAAUCAGGUAGGACUACCCGCUGAACUUAAGC
This 378-nucleotide unclassified non-coding RNA is filed under the name plant metagenome. Its description in RNAcentral is "partial contains 5.8S ribosomal RNA, internal transcribed spacer 2, and large subunit ribosomal RNA". The stretch from base 1 to 105 matches the Rfam family "5.8S ribosomal RNA", at positions 50 to 154 of the family's 154-position model. The record is from RNAcentral.